GGCAACUUGGCCGAGUGGUCUAAGGCGACGCACUCAAGGAUUUGAUUGUCCACAAUCUAAUGAUAUAUCCUUCCCCUUCUUCAGAAGGGGAGAAAAGCAUUGCGUUCUCGAGAGGGGCGUGAGUUCGAAUCUCACAGUUGUCA
This is a non-coding RNA of Cladorrhinum sp. PSN332, 143 nucleotides long. NCBI's taxonomy places the organism in Eukaryota, Fungi, Ascomycota, Sordariomycetes, Sordariales, Podosporaceae. The record is from the annotation of a GenBank genome assembly.